This 252-nucleotide ribosomal RNA is filed under the name uncultured bacterium. RNAcentral describes it as "partial 16S ribosomal RNA". It matches the Rfam family "Bacterial small subunit ribosomal RNA", at positions 524 to 776 of the family's 1533-position model. The record is from RNAcentral.
UACAUAGGCCUCGAGCGUUAGGCGGAAUCACUGGGCUUAAAGCGUGUGUAGGCGGACUUCUAAGUACCUUGUGAAAUCCCCGGCUCACCCGUGGAACUGCUGGGUAUACUGGUCGUCUUGAGCCUUCUAGGGGCUACCGGAACAAAUGGUGGAGCGGUGAAAUGCGUAGAUAUCAUUUGGAACGCCAAUGGUGAAAACAGGUAGCUGGGGAAGUGCUGACGCUGAGACACGAAAGCCAGGGGAGCGAACGGG